Long non-coding RNA from Canis lupus familiaris (dog), 1285 nucleotides. RefSeq lists it as uncharacterized. The transcript is spliced from 3 exons. The record is from RefSeq and is a predicted model, not a curated record. NCBI's taxonomy places the organism in Eukaryota, Metazoa, Chordata, Mammalia, Carnivora, Canidae.
UAUACACAAUUGUUAUACUUGAUGGGUCAAGCCAUGGUUACUUCGCUCUGCCUGUGAUGCAGAGUGCAGUCCUCUGACCACCAGCAUUGGCAUGUCAGACAUGCAGACACUCAAAGGCCCGCACCAGAACUACUGAGUCAGAAUCUAAUUUUUUACCAACAUCCUCCAGUUUUUUACAUCUGUACAUUAAAUUUUGAGAAGCAUAGGCCUCAUCAACUUCCUGCUUCAAAAGAUGAAAAUUCAGGCAGAUUCAACAGUGGGCUUCAGACUCACCUCUAAGAGCUUGCCUGCAGUAAGAGCACAAGAAUCAGGAGUGGAUUGGGUUUACUAUCUUACCCAGUCCAGCAUUUGAAGAUAUGGAGCCCAAGAGAUGUGUUUCUGGAAGAUGGAUGUGUUUGACUCCAUGAGCAUCCCCUAUAAAGGAACUCUGCAAAGUGUGAGAAUUGCUUUGUAGUCCGAAGGGCCCCUGAGUCUGUGAGCCGUGUGGUUCUGCCAAGAUUGCCCAGCCUGCCAAACUCUCAGCUGCCAAAAGACUAGCCAGGGCUUCCUUGUAUAAUGAAAGUACAAAAAAGGCCAUGUGCUUGGCGGACUUGCCUGAUUCCCUCUGCUUCAUAGAGAAAAUAAAUCUCUGAAGAAGUCCAACAGAGAGCUACCAUCUGGUCAGACUCCUGGCUUUCUCAACAUGGCUCCCACCACCCAUCGCCAAGUGUCAGGAGGGCUUCCUGUGUUGGAGGAAGGCGGGCCACGAUGUUUGGGGCCAAUAUGCUAAAAUCAGAUGGGAGCUUAAUGAGGGGGGACUUGGCAGACUGGUGUCGACCUGCCGUCUCAUCAUUGCUUCUGGCACAUUCACAGAAGGGUCAACAUUUCAGCAAUAAAAAUUGGAGCAAUUUAAGAGCUGGACCUGGAGUUGCUGACUAUCUGUUAAUUUCUUGAAGAAUCUGCAACACAUCCAAGUAAAAACCUACCCAACAGCCACAAUACUUUUCAUCCCGGAUGACUUGAAGGCUGCGCUGUUGGAAAAAGCUGCAGAACUAUUUUAUAGUGCUGACGCUAUGCACUGAUUUUGGCCCACUCUCUGCACACUUAGGUUUUCAGUCCUAAAAGCCAAAGCCAACUUUUCUUUCAUGUAGGGCAGUUCCUGCUCCACAAAAGUUCAUGUCUUGUAAGAAACCUUUCUUUUAUAGUAAAUGAUGGUAUGAAACUUGGUCAUUUAUUGUAUCAUAACUGGCCUUGGCGAUCUGCUUGGUUUAAAUAAUAAUCAUGUUUAUUCAUUGCAGUUUUGCUU